This 469-nucleotide ribosomal RNA is filed under the name uncultured bacterium. RNAcentral's name for it is "partial 16S ribosomal RNA". It matches the Rfam family "Bacterial small subunit ribosomal RNA", at positions 28 to 507 of the family's 1533-position model. The record is from RNAcentral.
GACGAACGCUGGCGGCGUGCUUAACACAUGCAAGUCGAACGGAAAGGCCCUGCUUGCAGGGUGCUCGAGUGGCGAACGGGUGAGUAACACGUGGGUGAUCUGCCCCUUACUUUGGGAUAAGCCUGGGAAACUGGGUCUAAUACUGGAUAGGACCAUGCUGUAGGGGGUGUGUUGGAAAGAUUAGUUUCGGUAGUGGAUGAGCUCGCGGCCUUUCAGCUUGUUGGUGGGGUAUGGGCCUACAAAGGCGUCGACGGGUAGCCGGCCUGAGGGGAUGGACGGCCGCGUUGGGACUGAGAUACGGCCCAGACUCCUGCAGGAGGCCGCAAUGGGGAAUAUUGCGACAUGGGAGCCAGCCUGAUGCAACGACGCCGCGUGGGGGCUGACGGCCUUCGGGUUGUAAACUCCUUUCGGCCAUGACGAAGCCCUUGUGGUGACGGUAGUGGUAGAAGAAGCACCGGCUAACUACGUG